GCCUGGGUGGCUCAGUCAGUUAAGCAUCUGACUUCAGCUCAGGUCAUGAUCUCACAGCUUGUGGGUUCAAGCCCCACAUCAGGCU
RNAcentral lists this transfer RNA (85 nucleotides) under Felis catus (domestic cat). It matches the Rfam family "tRNA". From Rfam's summary of the family: Transfer RNA (tRNA) molecules are approximately 80 nucleotides in length. RNAcentral also lists the same sequence under 3 other names. Lineage: Eukaryota; Metazoa; Chordata; Mammalia; Carnivora; Felidae. The record is from Rfam by way of RNAcentral.